UCUAAUAUGGCAGAUUAGUGCAAUAAAUUUAAGCUUUAUUUAUGUAAAAUGAAUAUUUACUGUUAGAA
RNAcentral lists this transfer RNA (68 nucleotides) under Eupristina koningsbergeri. Its description in RNAcentral is "tRNA-Leu". Lineage: Eukaryota; Metazoa; Arthropoda; Insecta; Hymenoptera; Agaonidae. The record is from RNAcentral.